RNAcentral lists this transfer RNA (74 nucleotides) under Mycolicibacterium sphagni. RNAcentral describes it as "tRNA-Lys". Lineage: Bacteria; Bacillati; Actinomycetota; Actinomycetes; Mycobacteriales; Mycobacteriaceae. The record is from RNAcentral.
GACCCUGUGGCAGGGGUCGAACUCACGGACUUUUAAUCCGCAGGUCCCAGGUUCGAGCCCUGGUGGGGGCACCA